This 253-nucleotide ribosomal RNA is filed under the name uncultured bacterium. RNAcentral's name for it is "partial 16S ribosomal RNA". It matches the Rfam family "Bacterial small subunit ribosomal RNA", at positions 524 to 776 of the family's 1533-position model. The record is from RNAcentral.
UACGAAGGGGGCGAGCGUUGUUCGGAAUUACUGGGCGUAAAGGGCGCGUAGGCGGCGAACCAAGUCAGAUGUGAAAGUCCUGGGCUUAACCUGGGGACUGCAUUUGAUACUGGUUUGCUUGAAUUCGGGAGAGGAUAGCGGAAUUCCCAGUGUAGAGGUGAAAUUCGUAGAUAUUGGGAAGAACACCGGUGGCGAAGGCGGCUCUCUGGGACGGUACUGACGCUGAGACGCGAAAGCGUGGGGAGCGAACAGG